GGAGAGGUGGCCGAGUCUGGUUUAAGGCGCACGCCUGGAAAGUGUGUGUACCUCAACGGGUACCGGAGGUUCGAAUCCUCUCCUCUCCGCCA
RNAcentral lists this transfer RNA (92 nucleotides) under Desulfomicrobium sp. RNAcentral's name for it is "tRNA-Ser". It matches the Rfam family "tRNA". From Rfam's summary of the family: Transfer RNA (tRNA) molecules are approximately 80 nucleotides in length. The record is from RNAcentral. RNAcentral also lists the same sequence under 7 other names. Lineage: Bacteria; Pseudomonadati; Thermodesulfobacteriota; Desulfovibrionia; Desulfovibrionales; Desulfomicrobiaceae.